GAUGAACGCUAGCGGCAGGCUUAAUACAUGCAAGUCGAGGGGCAGCGCAGUGUAGCAAUACAUGGGCGGCGACCGGCAAACGGGUGCGGAACACGUACGCAACCUUCCUUUAAGUGGGGGAUAGCCCAGGGAAACUUGGAUUAAUACCCCGUAAUAUUAUGAAGUGGCAUCACUUUAUACUUAUAGCUCCGGCGCUUAAAGAUGGGCGUGCGACUGAUUAGGUAGUUGGCGGGGUAACGGCCUACCAAGCCUGCGAUCAGUAACUGGUGUGAGAGCACGACCAGUCACACGGGCACUGAGACACGGGCCCGACUCCUACGGGAGGCGGCAGUAAGGAAUAUUGGUCAAUGGACGCAAGUCUGAACCAGCCAUGCCGCGUGGAGGAUGAAGGUCCUCUGGAUUGUAAACUUCUUUUAUUUGGGAAGAAACCCACUGUUUCUACGGUGGUUGACGGUACCAGAUGAAUAAGCACCGGCUAACUCCGUGCCAGCCGCCGCGGUAA
RNAcentral lists this ribosomal RNA (502 nucleotides) under uncultured bacterium. RNAcentral's name for it is "partial 16S ribosomal RNA". It matches the Rfam family "Bacterial small subunit ribosomal RNA", at positions 28 to 523 of the family's 1533-position model. The record is from RNAcentral.